GUAUUCUCUACACACAGAGCUUGGGUCUCUACUACUCUUAAGAAAGGCAGCAGAGAGCAUCUUCCUUCUAGGCUUCUCACUACCCUUCUGCGCCACAAAACCCCAGAGUACAUCAGUUUGAGAACCGAAAGGCAGACGAGAGAUGGAAUUUUAUGUCUGGACGCUUCCAAGAAAU
This is a long non-coding RNA of Ailuropoda melanoleuca (giant panda), 175 nucleotides long. RefSeq lists it as uncharacterized. The record is from RefSeq and is a predicted model, not a curated record. The transcript has 3 exons. NCBI's taxonomy places the organism in Eukaryota, Metazoa, Chordata, Mammalia, Carnivora, Ursidae.